UCCGUAGGCGGGUAAUUAAGUCAGAGGUGAAAUCCCACAGCUCAACUGUGGAACUGCCUUAGAUACUGGUUAUCUUGAGUUUUAGUGAAGUAGAUAGAAUGUGUAGUGUAGCGGUGAAAUGCAUAGAUAUUACACAGAAUACCGAUUGCGAAGGCAGUCUACUAACUAACAACUGAUGCUAAUGGACGAAAGCGUGGGGAGCGAACAGGAUUAGAUACCCUGGUAGUCC
This 229-nucleotide ribosomal RNA is filed under the name uncultured bacterium. RNAcentral describes it as "partial 16S ribosomal RNA". It matches the Rfam family "Bacterial small subunit ribosomal RNA", at positions 568 to 796 of the family's 1533-position model. The record is from RNAcentral.